RNAcentral lists this long non-coding RNA (1824 nucleotides) under Canis lupus familiaris (dog). RNAcentral's name for it is "lncRNA (ENSCAFG00040018526.1)". The record is from RNAcentral. Lineage: Eukaryota; Metazoa; Chordata; Mammalia; Carnivora; Canidae.
AUGGAAUUCCUUGGUGCUAGCUUCCAGUUUGCUAAUUCUUUGUUUAUUCCAUUUAUGGAGUUUUUUAAAAUUUCGCUUUCAGAACUUCUAGUUGAUGUGUUUAUACCUGUAUUUUCUUUGUAUAAUUUCUGCUUGCUUUGUUUGGUAAUUUUUAAAAAAUGAAAUUUUUAAUCAUUUGGUUAUUUUUUUUUUUUUUAAGAUUUUACUUAUUCAUGAGAGACAGAGAGAGAAGCAGAGACACAGGUAGAGGGAGAAGCAGGCUCCAUUGGGACUCUAUCCUGGGUCUCCAGGAUCACACCAUGGGCUAAAGGGGGUGCUAAACCCCUAAGCCACCCCGGCUGCCCAUUUUAUGUUUUUAAAGUGACAAUGGAUUUCUGUGAAAUUUGUGAUUAAUUUAGGUAAAAUUGACAUUUUGCAGUGUUGAAUUUUUUCAGUUUGGAACAUAUUACAUCUGUCCUUUUAAUUUUUAUGUUUUUUUAGAAAAAUUUUCUUGUAUUGCUUUUGUUUUCUCUACAUAUGUCCUACAAAUUCCUUAAGCUUAUUUCUAGAUAUUUUAUAUUUUUUGUUCUGUAUUUUAAUUUCCAAUGAACUAAUAUUGAAAAAUAAGGAACUUGUUGACUUUUAUGUAUUAAUUAGUAAAAGGAUAGUUUCUUAUUAAUUUUAAUUAUUUUCCUUCAUCUUCCAGGAAGGCAAUCGUUAUCAGUAAAUAAUAAUAAUUUUGCCAUUUUCUUUUCCAAAUAUCCAGGAGAUAUCCUGCUUUGUUAGCUUCUCUGAUUGUACUGGUUAGCACUUCUAGAGUGAUUUUAAAUCAUAAAGGUGACAGGAUCUAUUCUUGCCUUUUAUCUACUUGAAAAGAGAAUGUCCUUGUUGCAGUGUUUUUCAAAAUCCCUUCUGAUAUUUUUUUUUUAAGAGUUCAGUAGUCAAAUAUGUUUGUAAAUACAUGAGUAUAUUAAAUUAAAGGCUCUGAAAUAUCUGUAGUAAAUAUAUUUAUUUAAAUUUGUUUAAUAUAUGCUUACCAUUUCCUAAAAGUAUUUAAUAAUGAACCAUAAACAUCUCAUCAUUUUCCUUUUUUUCUUUAAUACAAUAACUAUAAUCUUAUCUAGUGCUUUAAGCAUGUUAUUGGGUGUUGGCUUGAAACCAUUUUUAAAAAGGUUACUUCAUACAAAUUUCUUUGAUUUCUAUUUUACUAGUAAGUGAAUAAUAAAUCUUACCAAAUUCAUUUUAGUAUUCAGAUGAUUGCUAUGCAUUUUUCCUUUGAUCAAUGUCAUAAAUCAUAUCACUAAAUAUAAAACUAUAUAUCUCUGAGUUCCUAAGAUAAACCAUUCCAUGACCAUGGAGUUAUGUAUUUUGGUAUUCUUCUGUAUUUUAUUUGCUAAUAUUUUAUUUAAUAUUUUUUGGAUCUAUCAUCAUAAAUGAUAUUGAUCUCUAGUUUUCUUUGACAUAAUUGGUAUCAGCCUUAUGCCAAUUUUAUAAAAUUAAUUAGAGUCUUUUCUACUUUCUCUGCACCACAGGCCAGUAUUGUAGCACAGCAAUUCUCUGUUCCUCAAUAUUUGAAAGAACUUGCAGAUAGAACACAUCAGGUCUGGUGCAUAUUUGGGAAGUAGUUCAUUGACAACCCUUUCAGUGUCUUUCAUGGUAUAUCCAGAUUUUCUGUUUAGUCAGUUUUUGUGGUAGAUUGAUUUUUGUGGUAGAUUGAUUGAUGGGCCUAAUUAACUACCCUCUCAUAUCCGUGUCCUUCACAGUGUGAUUUUACAGCUCCAAUAUCAAGCUGUGGAUUUAUUUUUUCUGUAUCUUGAAUCCGGGUUGACUGUGUGUCUUUCUUUG